UAUCAGUCAUGCAUAGCAUAUCAAUAAGCGGAGGAAAAGAAACCUAACAAGGAUUCCCUUAGUAACGGCGAGUGAAGCGGGAAGAGCUCAAAUUUGAGAUCUUCAAGGUUUUACCUUGACGAAUUGUAGUUUAAAGAAGUGUUUUCUGUUGAAGUUUUGGUAAAAGUUCUUUGGAAUAGGACAUCAUAGAGGGUGAGAAUCCCGUAUUUGACCAUUACUUUCAGCUUUGUGAUACACUUUCAAAGAGUCGGAUUGUUUGGGAAUGCAGUCCAAAAUGGGUGGUAAAUUUCAUCUAAAGCUAAAUAUUGGCGAGAGACCGAUAGCGAACAAGUACCGUGAGGGAAAGAUGAAAAGAACUUUGAAAAGAGAGUUAAACAGUACGUGAAAUUGUCAAAAGGGAAGCGUUUGACACCAGUGUUGUUUUCUCGAAAAUCAAUUAAAAAGAGUUGGAUUUUGUGUUGUAUUGACUUUAUCAGCUUUCUUCACUCUUUUCCAGCUUUUUUUAAUGCACUUUUCGUUUAACAAGUCAACAUCAGUUUCUUUUGUUGUAAAAAGGUCAUUGGAAGGUGGCUUUCUCUUCGGAGAAAGUGUUUAUAGCCUUUGACUCAUGCAAUCGGAGAGACUGAGGUCUGCAGCGUAGAUCCUUCGGGGUUAGAUACAUUUGUGCUAAGUUAUAGCUUUUCAUAGACAACUUGUUGACUAUGUUUAGUCUUGUAGCUUACUCGCUUAUGCUAUUUUACCUACGCUUAGGAUGUUGAACUCUAUCACACACAG
Molecule: ribosomal RNA, 774 nt
Filed under: uncultured Neocallimastigales
Lineage: Eukaryota; Fungi; Neocallimastigomycota; Neocallimastigomycetes; Neocallimastigales
Description: partial large subunit ribosomal RNA
Rfam family: Eukaryotic large subunit ribosomal RNA
Source: RNAcentral